AAAUGUCAAUUGACUCCUCUCACUCAUAGUUGUACAAAUUACAGGGCUUUUUUUUAAUUGUCAUAAAACAUAUACAUUAUUCAUCUAUUCAGUUUCAUCUGAAGAGAAUCCAACAAAGAAGAAAUUUUAUUUUCCAAUAAAAUAUUAAAGCUGCUUUACCCCACAAGAGACAGAGCAGAAAUUCCAUCCAUGAUCUAUAAAUCUAUGCGAAAACAAUACACAGUUCUGGCCAAAAGAAGUUAAAACAAAUGUGAAAAAUAAGCGACAUCCAGAAACUUCAGCAGCUCCCUUCUGUCCUAUGCCUCAAGGUACCAGAGAGGGAAAAAGACCCCCAGGAGAGGCUGUGAGGAAACCUGAACUGCAAACCCACCACGAUGUCUUCCUGGGAAAGGCAAGUUGGUAAAGAAAGAUGUGAACUCUAUUUCAGGGUAGUAUGUUUUUUUCAUUUGCUUCCAAGACUUUGAUGGAAUGACUUGAGAGGAAAAGUUCACAAUUACUAGAAAGAACCUAAAAGGACAUGAGAGAUGAAACCGUUGCAGUAUUUUUGAAAUAAAUGUUUUCCUGCAAGAGCAGAGUCAUGGGCGGGGUGUCUGUGUAAUAUCUACUCAACACAGCCGAAGGGUAAGAGGAAAUCUUGGUAAGCCGACUUCCAAGUCUUAAUGGGGAACCAUACGGAACCAACUGCACGCCAAAUCCCACGCUCACCGAAGCUUCAGGGAUUUUCUUGUGGGUCUGGGGGUUUAAUCUGACAGCUCCUAGAGCCUUCAGGACUUCCCGGGCACAGAUAAUGGGCCGCGACUGCACCCCCGCGUCCCUCCUUGGGGCGCAGGCUUUCCACAGCUACAGUUCUCCACGUCAGCAGCCACGUACACAAGCGCCGGCAGCUGCCAACAGGGCGUGCCCGCUUCCAACCCUGCACUCUCCCAAGCAGGACAUCCCUGCACCGCCCGGCGCGUUCGCGAAAACUCCGCGGGGCCUCGAGGCGUCCCGGGAUUAGCCCUGACGCUGUAGGGCUCUCUAGGUUUUCCACGACGCAGGGGAGCGUAACUGGAGCGCACCCGACAGCCUCUCAGCUUGCCCAGGCUCGACUGGAUGGGGCUUUGCUGGACCCCCGACCCGACCCCCACACACCCGGGCGGCGGGGCCCAGGUACCUGCCAACGCCUCCGCACCUCAUCGUCCCCUCUGCUUCCCCUCCUCCCUCUCCCCGAACCCUUCCCCCCUCCUCCCCGCCUCCUCCCCGCCUCCUCUUCGCCUCCUCCUCCACCUUCUCCUCCCCCCGACCCCUGCUCCCACUCUUGGCUCCAAGUCCGCGCGCGGGCUGGGGAGGCGGUGCCGAAUGAAUCACCGUCACGUGGGUCGCGGGCGCGCAGAGGCGGGCUGCGCCCGGGCGGCUCUGGCGCUCGGAGCGUUAGUGGAAAAUUUCCGGAGAUCUACUGGGGCUGCGCGCCGCAGGCCCCGCCCGCCGCCUCCCCGCUCCUUCGUAUCCCCACCUCCUUUUCCCCCUCCCUCCUCCUUUUCUCUCUUCCCCCGCCGUUUUCCGGUCGCAGCCGGGCCCCGACAUUGCGGAGGUUCCUUUCUCUCCGGGGAGCGGCGCUGCGCACGCCCCGCCCGCUGCAGCGCCCCAGGCUGGCGCCGCCAGACCCCUUUGCCCUGGGGCCGCCAGCCCUCGCUUCCUUCGCGCGGCUCCAAGCCGCCACGCGGCCUUGCCCCCGACCUUGCGUGUAGCCUGCUGGUAUCCUGAGAGGCCAGGAGCGGCGUCCUGGCGCCUCCGCCUUCGCCUCUGGGGCGCCGCACCCCCGCCACCUCCGUUCCGCAUUGAGUGAGACCCCCCACAUCUCCGGGCGGAAUGUGAGACAAAGGGAGAAGACGGUGACGAUGGGCGUCUUGUCUUCUCAUUUAGAAUUACUGCACCGCCGUUUAAACAAAGCACAUGCAAGGCCAAUUGUGUUUUACCCACUCCCACUUAACCACUGAGAAAAUAAGCUAUUUUCUCUAUCCCAUAACAUUCUCCACUUCGUUUUCCCAACCACGAACAAAAUUUAUUCCUGAGACAGCAACUUUGAGGAUUUCGUUGACCUCAUCCAUGUAGAAGUGACAAAUGGUUACACAACAAAAUUGUUUCACUCAAAGGGGGUUGUUGUGUACGUGGUUCACCUCAAUAAAACACACAUUUAACUGUUUCAGCAACUGUUUAGCCCUGGACUGUCGCCCGGGUUAAUGUCGCUGAAUGGGGUGGGGGGUUGAAAAGUGGCAUUAGCGCCACGUGUCCCAAGACGAAGUGACAUGGAACCGGAGGCAGGUGCCUUAAUCAGUCACGAAGUGCCAACGAUGUCAGUCAAAACAGUUGGGAGUUUUAUUGAGUAAAGAUCUCAGAACCAAGCCCAUAUAUUAAAUGGUUCCCAUCUAAGAACCAGAAUUGCAGGUGUGUUAAUUUUAAUAAAUCGUUAUUUCAGUAUCUUAGCCCUGGGCAAAGAAAGAUCCGGAAACUGACUGAAGGCCAGGAAUGUAGGUUCAUCGUGGCCUACGAGUGCUUUGGGUAGCACACCUUCUUUCAGUCACUGUCAUUUCUCUUUAGACAAGAAGACCCCUAACAAGUAUUAAAAUAAAGGUAUUUUUUAAUGAUCCUGUUUUGGAAAAUUGUAAGGAUCUGAAAUUUUUAAUUUUUUAAAACAAUGGAGCACUUCAAUAAAACUUCUAUUUUCUUUACUAAGAAUAUACACAGCUUGUUUUUUAGCUUAAUUCUUGAUUGUUGCUGUGACCUUACCACAUUCUGAAUAACCUUAAGCAUGUAUAUGAGAAUCGUAUCUGUGAUUUUGCUUUCACAUUUCACUUUCCAAGACACUUAUUGGUAAUUAGCAGGUGUCAGUUUACCUAGCCAAAGAACCAUUGUCUAUAAAUCCUUCAUCUCUCUGCCAUUGUUUUCUUUCACAUUCAUUGGCAUAUACUACACCUAGCAAAAUAGACCAUUCCAGGGUCAAAUGAAAAGGCCAACAGGUAAGUAUCACAAGAAGGUCAUUAGUCAAGCCGUUAUUUCCCCUCUUUUAUUUGGGAAGGAGAUGGGAGAAACAGAGUUCUGAUACUAGGUCCCUGGAAAGUUCUUCAGUCUUGACAGAAUUGGGUAUGUUUGUACUAAAGUAUCUGUAAAACUAAAUUUUUUUAAAUUUUUUGUUGUUGUUUUGAGACGGAGUGUUGCUCUUGUCGCCCAGGCUGCGGUGCAAUGACGCGAUCUUGGCUCACUGCAACCUCCGCCUCCCAGGUUCAAGCAAUUCUCCUGCCUUGGCCUCCCAAAUAGCUGCGAUUACAGGCGCCUGCCAGCACACCCAGCUAAUUUUUGUAUUUUUACUAGAGACGGGGUUUCACCAUGUUGGCCAGGCUGGUCUCAAACUCCUGACCUCAGGUGAUCCGCCUGCCUCGACCUCCCAAAGUGCUGGGAUUACAGACAUGAGCCAUCGCGCCCAGCCAUAUUUCUAAAUUUUUUUAAGACUGAGUUUCUGUGGGCCCCUUAAUUUUCUUUUUCUUGCUGAAAAAUGAGGUAUGCAUUUACAAAAUACUGAUGCUUGCAAAUAUAUGGAUUUACAAUAUAAUAUAUUUUUUAGGCAUUACUAUGUUUUCCAGUCCUGGCCAGUGGGAUCUGAGACAACAAUAACAGCAUUUCCAGGAAAUGUUAUCUCUCAAAAUAAAAUUAACUCACAAAAUGACGCUCCUUUCUUUUGCAAUGGAUGUGGUCCUGUCUGCCUAUGACCCCUAAAACCACUGCAGCCAACAUGUGACCAUGAUGGGAGAGAUCCCCAGCAUGUUGAAGAAAGCAAAGUGAAAAUAUAAUGAGCUCUUUGUCUUGGAGGGAGGUAUCAGGGCCAAGAAUUAACCCCAGAACUGUGCUCUCUACAUACUUCUUAUUAUGUGAGAUAGUGUCAUUAUUUAAGCCACUUUCAAUUGCAUAUUGUGUUUAUUGCCAUAAAAUGUUUUCUGGCUGGGCACAGUGGCUCAUGCCUAUAAUCCCAGCACUUUGAGAAGCUGAGGUGGUGGAUUGCUUGAGCCCAGGAGUUUGAGAUCAGCCUGGGCAACUUGGCUGAAACCUGUCUCUACAAAAAAUUAGCCUAGCCAGACGUGGUGGCCUGUGCCUAUAGUCCCAGCUACCCAGGAGACUGAGGUGGGAGAAUCACCUGAACCUGGGCUCUCUGAUCACACUGCUGCAUUCCAGCCUGGGCAAAAUAUUCUUGCUGCUGACAACUUCUCUGUGGUAGCCAGCCUCCAAAAUGGCCCCCAGUGAUGCUUACCUCCUGGUAUGCACUCCCUUGUGUAGUCCCCUUCUAUGUUGAAUCAGGGCUUGCCUUUGUGACUGAUAGAAUAUGGUAGAAAUGAUAAAGUGUGACUUCCAAGGCUAGUUCAUAAAGGCAUUGCAGCUUCUGCCUUGCUCUUUCUUGCUAACUUGCUCUGGGAUAAGCCAGCUGCCAUGUCAUGAAGACAUUCAGUCAGGGUUGUGCAGACACCUUCUUGGAGAGGAAGCAACCAGCCAGCACCAACUUACCAACAUGUGAAUGACCUUGGAAGAUCUUCCAGCCCCAGUCAUGCCAUCAGAUGACUAGAGCCCUCUCACAGCUGACUGCAACCUCAUUAAAGACUUAAAGCCAGAACACCCAACAGAGCUGCUCUUGAAUUCCUGAUUCAUAGACACUUCGAGAGAUAAUAAAUUAUUGUUGCUUUCAGACACUAAGUCUUGGAAUAAUUUGUUACAUAGCAAUUGAUAUCUAAUAGAGUAUCUGUCAACACCAGAAAAACAUGCCAAAGUCAGCAAAGCACUCCCAGAGUCCGUACUGUUGCUUUAGACUUGAGAGCUAUCUUACAAGAUUGAAUACAACCGUUCAUUUAUCAAGCACUUUCUAAAUAUGAUCCCA
This 4897-nucleotide long non-coding RNA is filed under the name Homo sapiens (human). Its description in RNAcentral is "non-protein coding lnc-SLC38A2-1:17". Lineage: Eukaryota; Metazoa; Chordata; Mammalia; Primates; Hominidae. The record is from RNAcentral.